CGGGGCUUCACUUGCACUUCACUUGUUUUUAUUCGCGCGAGUGAGGCGAAAAACAUCCCGCGAGUAACCAACCAUGGUCUACAAUAUCGAACUCAACAGCUCUUUUAAGAGCCAACCCUCACAAACCUUACUAAAAACUAAAAGUAAAACUAAGAGUCUCAACGAAUCUUGCCAUAAUCGGCCCUUCCCAGAAGAGAAGGAAGACCAAGGAAAUUCUUUGUUCAGGGUGAGGAAUGAACAUGGCCAUCUUGC
Molecule: long non-coding RNA, 252 nt
Filed under: Sinocyclocheilus anshuiensis
Lineage: Eukaryota; Metazoa; Chordata; Actinopteri; Cypriniformes; Cyprinidae
Description: lncRNA (ENSSANG00000002607.1)
Source: RNAcentral